UACCAGCACCCCGAGUGGUCGGGACGUUUAUUGGGCCUAAAGCAUCCGUAGCCGGUUCUACAAGUCUUCCGUUAAAUCCAGCUGCUUAACAGAUGGGCUGCGGAAGAUACUAUGGAGCUAGGAGGCGGGAGAGGCAAGCGGUACUCAGUGGGUAGGGGUAAAAUCCUUUGAUCCAUUGAAGACCACCAGUGGCGAAGGCGGCUUGCCAGAACGCGCUCGACGGUGAGGGAUGAAAGCUGGGGGAGCAAACCGG
This 253-nucleotide ribosomal RNA is filed under the name uncultured bacterium. RNAcentral describes it as "partial 16S ribosomal RNA". It matches the Rfam family "Archaeal small subunit ribosomal RNA", at positions 474 to 727 of the family's 1478-position model. The record is from RNAcentral.